GAGGAAAGAGGGCGGCGUGCCUAAUACAUGCAAGUCGAGCGAACGGACGAGAAGCUUGCUUCUCUGAUGUUAGCGGCGGACGGGUGAGUAACACGUGGAUAACCUACCUAUAAGACUGGGAUAACUUCGGGAAACCGGAGCUAAUACCGGAUAAUAUUUUGAACCGCAUGGUUCAAAAGUGAAAGACGGUCUUGCUGUCACUUAUAGAUGGAUCCGCGCUGCAUUAGCUAGUUGGUAAGGUAACGGCUUACCAAGGCAACGAUGCAUAGCCGACCUGAGAGGGUGAUCGGCCACACUGGAACUGAGACACGGUCCAGACUCCUACGGGAGGCAGCAGUAGGGAAUCUUCCGCAAUGGGCGAAAGCCUGACGGAGCAACGCCGCGUGAGUGAUGAAGGUCUUCGGAUCGUAAAACUCUGUUAUUAGGGAAGAACAUAUGUGUAAGUAACUGUGCACAUCUUGACGGUACCUAAUCAGAAAGCCACGGCUAACUACGUG
RNAcentral lists this ribosomal RNA (497 nucleotides) under uncultured bacterium. Its description in RNAcentral is "partial 16S ribosomal RNA". It matches the Rfam family "Bacterial small subunit ribosomal RNA", at positions 28 to 507 of the family's 1533-position model. The record is from RNAcentral.